This 253-nucleotide ribosomal RNA is filed under the name uncultured bacterium. RNAcentral's name for it is "partial 16S ribosomal RNA". It matches the Rfam family "Bacterial small subunit ribosomal RNA", at positions 524 to 776 of the family's 1533-position model. The record is from RNAcentral.
GACAGAGGGUGCAAACGUUGUUCGGAAUUACUGGGCGUAAAGCGUGUGUAGGCGGCCAUAUAAGUCGGAUGUGAAAGCCCUGGGCUCAACCCAGGAAGUGCACUCGAUACUGUAUGGCUUGAGUACUGGAGAGGUUGGUGGAAUUCUCGGUGUAGAGGUGAAAUGCGUAGAUAUCCGGAGGAACACCAGUGGCGAAGGCGACUUUCUGGCCUGUUCUUGACGCUGAGGCGCGAAAGCUAGGGGAGCAAACGGG